ACAACUUUUAACAAUGGAUCUCUUGGCUCUCGCAUCGAUGAAGAACGCAGCGAAAUGCGAUAAGUAAUGUGAAUUGCAGAAUUCAGUGAAUCAUCGAAUCUUUGAACGCACCUUGCACUCUCUGGUAUUCCGGGGAGCACACCUGUUCGAGUGU
Molecule: ribosomal RNA, 154 nt
Filed under: Hydnum sp. HKAS57385
Lineage: Eukaryota; Fungi; Basidiomycota; Agaricomycetes; Cantharellales; Hydnaceae
Description: 5.8S ribosomal RNA
Rfam family: 5.8S ribosomal RNA
About the family: 5.8S ribosomal RNA (5.8S rRNA) is a component of the large subunit of the eukaryotic ribosome. It is transcribed by RNA polymerase I as part of the 45S precursor that also contains 18S and 28S rRNA. Functionally, it is thought that 5.8S rRNA may be involved in ribosome translocation.
Source: RNAcentral